CGGAGAGUUUGAUCCUGGCUCAGGACGAACGCUGGCGGCGUGCUUAACACAUGCAAGUCGAACGCUGAAGCCCAGCUUGCUGGGUGGAUGAGUGGCGAACGGGUGAGUAACACGUGAGUAACCUGCCCCCUUCUUUGGGAUAACGCCCGGAAACGGGUGCUAAUACUGGAUAUUCACUGAUCUUCGCAUGGGGGUUGGUGGAAAGGUUUUUUCUGGUGGGGGAUGGG
RNAcentral lists this ribosomal RNA (227 nucleotides) under Isoptericola variabilis. RNAcentral's name for it is "partial 16S ribosomal RNA". It matches the Rfam family "Bacterial small subunit ribosomal RNA", at positions 1 to 229 of the family's 1533-position model. The record is from RNAcentral. Lineage: Bacteria; Bacillati; Actinomycetota; Actinomycetes; Micrococcales; Promicromonosporaceae.